GACGAACGCUGGCGGCGUGCUUAACACAUGCCAGUCGAACGGUGAAGCGCCUUCCUUUUUGGUGAGUGUGGAUGAGUGGCGAACGGGUGAGUAACACGUGAGUAACCUGCCCCCUUCUUCUGGAUAACCGCAUGAAAGUGUGGCUAAUACGGGAUAUUCUGGGUCUGUCGCAUGAUGGGUCUGGGAAAGAUAUUGUUUCGGUGGGGGAUGGGCUCGCGGCCUAUCAGCUUGUUGGUGGGGUGAUGGCCUACCAAGGCGGUGACGGGUAGCCGGCCUGAGAGGGUGGACGGUCACACUGGGACUGAGACACGGCCCAGACUCCUACGGGAGGCAGCAGUGGGGAAUAUUGCACAAUGGGCGCAAGCCUGAUGCAGCGACGCCGCGUGAGGGAUGGAGGCCUUCGGGUUGUGAACCUCUUUCGCCAGUGAAGCAGGCCUGCCUCGUUUGUGGGUGGGUUGACGGUAGCUGGAUAAGAAGCGCCGGCUAACUACGUG
This 494-nucleotide ribosomal RNA is filed under the name uncultured bacterium. RNAcentral describes it as "partial 16S ribosomal RNA". It matches the Rfam family "Bacterial small subunit ribosomal RNA", at positions 28 to 507 of the family's 1533-position model. The record is from RNAcentral.